This 440-nucleotide ribosomal RNA is filed under the name uncultured bacterium. RNAcentral describes it as "bacterial SSU rRNA". It matches the Rfam family "Bacterial small subunit ribosomal RNA", at positions 954 to 1392 of the family's 1533-position model. The record is from RNAcentral.
GCAGAACGCGAAGAACCUUACCAGGCCUUGACAUGUCCAGUUUGGAUUCCAGAGAUGGUUUCCUUCACCUCGGGUGGCUGGAACACAGGUGCUGCAUGGCUGUCGUCAGCUCGUGUCGUGAGAUGUUGGGUUAAGUCCCGCAACGAGCGCAACCCUCGUCCUUAGUUGCCAUCAUUAAGUUGGGAACUCUAAGGAAACUGCCUAUGAUAAGUAGGAGGAAGGUGGGGACGACGUCAAGUCAUCAUGGCCCUUACGGCCUGGGCUACACACGUGCUACAAUGGCAUCGACAAUGGGCAGCUAACCCGCAAGGGUACGCGAAUCCCCAAACGAUGUCUCAGUUCGGAUUGUCCUCUGCAACUCGAGGGCAUGAAGCUGGAAUCGCUAGUAAUCGUAGAUCAGCAUGCUACGGUGAAUACGUUCCCGGGUCUUGUACACACCG